RNAcentral lists this ribosomal RNA (491 nucleotides) under uncultured bacterium. Its description in RNAcentral is "partial 16S ribosomal RNA". It matches the Rfam family "Bacterial small subunit ribosomal RNA", at positions 29 to 507 of the family's 1533-position model. The record is from RNAcentral.
AUCGAACGCUGGCGGCAUGCUUUACACAUGCAAGUCGAACGGUAACAGGCCUUCGGGUGCUGACGAGUGGCGAACGGGUGAGUAAUGCAUCGGAACGUACCCAGAGGUGGGGGAUAACGCAGCGAAAGCUGUGCUAAUACCGCAUGUGAUCUGAGGAUGAAAGCGGGGGGCCGAGCAGCAAUGUUUGGCCUCGCGCCUUUGGAGCGGCCGAUGUCGGAUUAGCUAGUUGGUGGGGUAAAGGCCUACCAAGGCGACGAUCCGUAGCUGGUCUGAGAGGACGACCAGCCACACUGGGACUGGGACACGGCCCAGACUCCUACGGGAGGCAGCAGUGGGGAAUUUUGGCCAAUGGGCGCAAGCCUGAUCCAGCAAUGCCGCGUGCGGGAAGAAGGCCUUCGGGUUGUAAACCGCUUUUGGCAGGAAGAAACGGUGUCCGCUAAUACCGGGCGCUAAUGACGGUACCUGCAGAAUAAGCACCGGCUAACUACGUG